This 576-nucleotide ribosomal RNA is filed under the name Triticum aestivum (bread wheat). Its description in RNAcentral is "partial small subunit ribosomal RNA". The record is from RNAcentral. Lineage: Eukaryota; Viridiplantae; Streptophyta; Magnoliopsida; Poales; Poaceae.
AGUAGAUACCAGGCCAACCCAGGUGAGAGUCACUGGGCAGCGGUAAAGACUAUUUUGAUGUACCUGAAAAUGACUAAAGAGAUGUUCCUAGUUUAUGGAGGUGGGGAAGAGCUCGCCGUAAGGGGUUACGCCGAUGCUAGUUUCCAAACCGACAGAGAUGAUUGUCGAUCACAGUCCGGAUUCGUUUACGUCAUGAAAGGAGGAGCAGUGAGCUGGAUGAGUUCUAAGCAAGAUACGGUGGCCGAUUCUACUACAGAAGCCGAAUACAUUGCGGCUUGUGAAGCUGCAAAGGAAGGUGUUUGGAUCCAGAACUUUCUGGAUGAUCUUGGUAUUUUCCCAACCUCGGUAAAACCGUUGGACCUUUAUUGUGAUAAUUCCGGUGCCAUCGCACAAGCCAAGGAGCCGAGGAAUCACCACAAGGUCAGACACAUAGAUCAUAAAUAUCACCUGAUACGAAAGAUCGUAAAGAGUGGUGAUGUAGAGUUAUGCAAAAUUCACACGGAUGCAAAUGUUGCGGAUCCGUUGACUAAGCCGCUUCCACAACCCAGACAUGAGGGGCACGUUAGAGCUAUGGGC